GUAGGUUAUGUAGUGUGUGUAUGGAAUAUAGUGAGGUAUGAGAAAGGAAUGUAGUGUCUGUGUGUGUAGGUUAUGUAGUUUGUGUAGGGAACACUGUGUGGUGUGGGAUAGGGGUGCAGUGUGUAGGUUAUGUAGUGUGUGUAUGGAAUAUAGUGAGGUAUGGGAAAGGAAUGUAGUGUGUGUGUGUGUAGGUUAUGUAGUGUGUGUAGGGAACACUGUGUGGUGUGGGAUAGGGAUGUACUGUGUAGGUUAUGUAGUGUGUGUAGGGAACACGGUGUGGUGUGGGAUAGGGAUGUAGUUUGUAUGUUUGUAGGUUAUGUAGAGUGUGUAAGGCACAUA
Molecule: non-coding RNA, 339 nt
Organism: Pelobates cultripes (western spadefoot toad)
Lineage: Eukaryota; Metazoa; Chordata; Amphibia; Anura; Pelobatidae
Source: the annotation of a GenBank genome assembly